Molecule: long non-coding RNA, 1800 nt
Organism: Thunnus maccoyii (southern bluefin tuna)
Lineage: Eukaryota; Metazoa; Chordata; Actinopteri; Scombriformes; Scombridae
Exons: 3
Source: RefSeq, a predicted model, not a curated record
AUCAAUUUACAUGUCUCUAAUAUUACGUCGAUAAUGCUAGAGGAUAAAGGACAGAGGCAUAAAUACAAGUUAAAUCAAUAGUGACCUUAUAUAUACCAACAAUGUGUCGAUUUUCCAAUUCCUGUUGAGAAACCAGGUUGCGUUUGCAGGAAAACACCAGUCAUCCUGCCUGUUCACGCCCCUCCUCCCUCCACACCCACCCAGUCAGAGACACCAACUGAGUUCACAAUAACUGUGGGUUCGCCGCACUGUACAUGAUUCAGAUUCUGGGGAUCCACAGGUUCUUUUGUCUCCUCUGCGGUAUAACAAGCACAACAGUGCCUGCUGUCUCCCUGAGGAAAGGACACUGAAACUUUGAUCUUAAGGAUGUGGAGGAUAUAUGUAGCAGCAGGCCUGUUGUGCUGAGUACAGAGCCACUGCAACGGCACAAUGUUCAUGAAUUUUGAUUCAAGUGGAGGUGCUCGCAGGCUAUCAGCUGUCAGUGUGAUUGAAGGACAGGUGGUGGUGGUGGUGGUGUCAGAAUUAGCUUGUAGCUACAGUAAGUGGCUUCCAGGACAUCCAAAUAACUGGGAUGCACAGUAGGUGAACAUAAAUCCCCACAUGCCUUUAGUGUAAAUAUGUAACCAAGACCAUGAUCUUUCCCCAACUGUAAACAAGACCUCUGAGUUCCCUAAACAUAACGAUGAAAACGCAGAUCAUCGUAGAUAUCAGGAGCAAAUAAUGUAGAAAACAUGUGAAAAAUGUCAAUUAACAUUUUGUAAAUAUGUUCAAUGUGAACAUUUUGUCACUUGGCAAAUCAGUUCAAUUAGAAUGUUUCUCUAUGUUGAUUAAAAAUAUAUUCAGGGGACAUUACAUGUCUCACAAAGCACAUUUGUUGUUGCAAAUUAGAAGUCCCUGAACAUAAUAUUUAGGAGACAGGGUUGAUGCCUGGGAAGUAAACAGAUGUUAAUGUAGAAAGCCUUUGCACAGUCACAGCUCUUUACCAUUUGAUCAGUUUUCAGAAUGUGUUCAUAGAAUAUGUUUUACACACAAAUCCAUGCACAAACAGAAAUGGAAAAAAAGAACAAUUUGUGGUUUACCUGCUGGAGCUAUUCCUUGGUGAAUAACAGUUUAUCCAUUCGACCUGCACUUCUGCAGUCUCUUAGGUGGAUGCAAGGUUAGUUGUUUCCCCCUGCGCCCAGCCUCUAUGUUAACCUAGGCUUAAUCAUGUCCUCAGUUCAGCUCUGUACUUAACACAAACACACGAAACUGAUAUCCAUCUUAUCAUCUAACUCUCAGCAAGGAAGAAAAUUACCUAUAUCUCAAAAUGUCAGCUACUUAUUUAAUGCACAAUAGCAGAUUCUCACUAUUGCCACUCAGAUGACCAACCUUUUCUCAUUCCCAGAUUGUCCAAUGCUGACACUUUGUCACGCCCCUCUGUGUCUCAUGCAGACGCACAAGGUGCCCUUAGAUGCACCGGGCUUUCAAUUAAAUCCAAUAUUAGACACUCAGAGCAACUGCCCUGGCCGUCUGUUGAUUCUGAUGUUAACCCGACUGCGGCACUCUAUGUCACUGUGAACAUCAGUCCCAUUGGAGAAAUGAAUACACACUUUUACCCCUGGAGAUGAAUUAUUACCUAGCAGUGAUUGUGCAAUAACUGCAGGGAGGCCUUUUAAGGAAACAACAAAUUCAGACAUAUCCAACUAAACAGGUGAUAGUUUCAAGAGUCUUGCCUACCUGUUCUGCAUCUGGCUCUCCACUGUUGCUGAUAUCAUCCCAGAGACCUGCAGUGUAAUCCACAGUGUUCUAAACAAUGACUGC